RNAcentral lists this transfer RNA (83 nucleotides) under freshwater metagenome. Its description in RNAcentral is "tRNA-Gly". The record is from RNAcentral.
GCGCCGCUGGGGCCGAGCCCGUCCCCGUUCCCAUCGGGGAACAAGCGGAAGAUCAUCUGGCGUUGGAGGUCGUCGGCAUCGCC